GACGAACGCUGGCGGCGUGCCUAAUACAUGCAAGUCGAGCGAGCUUGCCUAGAUGAAUUUGGUGCUUGCACCAAAUGAAACUAGAUACAAGCGAGCGGCGGACGGGUGAGUAACACGUGGGUAACCUGCCCAAGAGACUGGGAUAACACCUGGAAACAGAUGCUAAUACCGGAUAACAACACUAGACGCAUGUCUAGAGUUUAAAAGAUGGUUCUGCUAUCACUCUUGGAUGGACCUGCGGUGCAUUAGCUAGUUGGUAAGGUAACGGCUUACCAAGGCAAUGAUGCAUAGCCGAGUUGAGAGACUGAUCGGCCACAUUGGGACUGAGACACGGCCCAAACUCCUACGGGAGGCAGCAGUAGGGAAUCUUCCACAAUGGACGCAAGUCUGAUGGAGCAACGCCGCGUGAGUGAAGAAGGGUUUCGGCUCGUAAAGCUCUGUUGGUAGUGAAGAAAGAUAGAGGUAGUAACUGGCCUUUAUUUGACGGUAAUUACUUAGAAAGUCACGGCUAACUACGUGCCAGCAGCCGCGGUAAUACGUAGGUGGCAAGCGUUGUCCGGAUUUAUUGGGCGUAAAGCGAGUGCAGGCGGUUCAAUAAGUCUGAUGUGAAAGCCUUCGGCUCAACCGGAGAAUUGCAUCAGAAACUGUUGAACUUGAGUGCAGAAGAGGAGAGUGGAACUCCAUGUGUAGCGGUGGAAUGCGUAGAUAUAUGGAAGAACACCAGUGGCGAAGGCGGCUCUCUGGUCUGCAACUGACGCUGAGGCUCGAAAGCAUGGGUAGCGAACAGGAUUAGAUACCCUGGUAGUCCAAGGGCGAAUUCCACAGUGGAUAUCAAGCUUAUCGAUACCGUCGACCUCGAGGGGGAGGCCCGGUACCCAGCUUUUGUUCCUUUAGUAAGGGGUUAA
This 905-nucleotide ribosomal RNA is filed under the name uncultured Lactobacillus sp. Its description in RNAcentral is "bacterial SSU rRNA". It matches the Rfam family "Bacterial small subunit ribosomal RNA". Lineage: Bacteria; Bacillati; Bacillota; Bacilli; Lactobacillales; Lactobacillaceae. The record is from RNAcentral.